Molecule: long non-coding RNA, 941 nt
Filed under: Ananas comosus (pineapple)
Lineage: Eukaryota; Viridiplantae; Streptophyta; Magnoliopsida; Poales; Bromeliaceae
Description: long non-coding RNA (ACOM_LNC001953)
Source: RNAcentral
GAAUCGCAACGUUACAACUCCAGCCGAAAAUAGAGGAAGAGACCGUGAGGAUGACCGCACGACAUGAGUUCGCUGAAAAAUGGGCGAAGGAUGAAGGAAGAAGAGGGAGAAAGGAAGUAGAGAUGGAGAAAAGAGGAGAGAGCGGGUGGAGGAUGCCCUGGAUGAAAAGAGGGAAAGGGGGAAAGUGUGGGAAAAAGAGGAAAUGUGUAGGGAAAAGAAAAGAGGGAGUGAAGUUAUCAUUUUUUUUCUUUUUUUCUAAAUCAUAUUAAUCUCAGCCCUAGGAUCUAAAGGUUGUAGGAUCCACAACCCACAUGGGGUUGUACCAGUACCAUGACUCUUAAAGUGUAUCAAGUUAGUACCCUGUGGUUUCACACUUUCUUGCUUUAGUACCCUGUGGUUUAAAGUGUAUCAAGUUAGUACUCUGUGGUUUCAUUUUUGUGUCAAGUUAGUAUACUGUGGUUUUAUUUUUCUCUUUUUAUUAUCCAUUUUGGAGUAUAUUUUUUGUUAAAUCAGUGACAAAGUUAAAACUAAAGAGUACUAAAAUGAAUAUUCGAUAAACCUAGGUAGGGUAUAUGAAGUUUUUCGUCUCGAAAGGAAUUAAAGGGUUCGAAGAAACGGAGAAUCAUUGAUUCCCCUCCCCUUUUCUUUUGAAAACGCCAAACCGACGAGGUUGAAAAUGACUGCGGCAUAGAUGACGACGGUGGCAUAGAUCGUAAUGGCCGGCGGACUUGGUUCAACAUUCUCGAAAGGGAUUGAAGGGUCCUAAGAAAUGAAAAAUCGUUGAUUCCCCUCCCCCCUUCUUUCGAAAAUGCUAAAUCAGAGAGGUUGAAGAUGACUGUGGCGUAGAUGAUGACGGUGGCACAGAACGUAACGGUUGGCAGAUUCGGUUUGACAUUCUCGAAAGAGGUUGAAGAGUCCGAGAAAACAGAGAAUUGUUGAUU